Molecule: non-coding RNA, 1144 nt
Organism: Myodes glareolus (Bank vole)
Lineage: Eukaryota; Metazoa; Chordata; Mammalia; Rodentia; Cricetidae
Source: RefSeq, a predicted model, not a curated record
CAUCUGUGCAGAAAACUCCUCUGCAGAGGUCAGACUAGAUCAUGUAGAUCCCUCUCCCUCAUUAUCUCGCAAGCAUUCUGGAGACACACGAGGGGUGGCUCACUGGUGACCUCACCGCCAUCCUUGCCUGAAGAACCAGUUUCACCUGUCCACCGCCUGCACUUGGAGCCUGCUAGAUUCCGGCUUUACAGAUAGAGUCUCAUGAUAGAGACCAGGCUGGCCUUGAACUCACAGAAACCCACCUUCCUCUGCUUCCCAAGAGCUGGGAUUGAAGAUGUAUAUCACCAUGCCUGUCUAUCUUAAGCAGCACAUUGACUACUAUAUUGAAAACGGAACCCAAAUGUUUGCAUGAGGGGGUUUUCUCAUCUCAUAAGGUUGAAAAAACCAGAAGCUGAACCAGUAUAAACCGGGCACCAUCUGCGCUCACAUAUGUCUGAAAUGGGCGAACACAGACUAACAGCGCAAGAAUAGGCAAUGUGCAGAUGAAGAAAAAUGGAGCUGGAGAGAACAAGUGAGGAGAAAGGCAAUAAAACUGAAAUAGGGUGGCCCGGCAGCUGACGGCAAAGGGUGGCACGCGAAGGUGGGAGGCUCCAGGUUGAGCACAGUUCCGAGAGGUCUACGCAGAGUCAUUUAGUCCUAUGAGGUAUGAACUAUGGCAUAUCCCUCUAUUCUAAGAAGAAGAGGAGGAGGAAAUCGAGGCACAGCACAACUACACAACUUCUCAAAGACAAAGUAGUGAGUGGUUGUGAGACUUGGAGCACUUUCCCACUGAGAGUUCCUGUGUGUGCUCAGCUCUGCCUGAGAGGCUUCCCACCCACACUCCUGUCCCCUAGGAAACAGAUCUCUUCCUUCACCUCCUAAUAUGGACGUCAUUUCCCCAGAAAGUCGUUGCUGUUGCACCGGAUCAGAUAGAGCCUAGCGGCAAACCCACUCUUCCUGGAGCCCACCUUUCCCCUUUGUAGCUCUGGAAAGGUAAAAUUAGAGGGCAGCCCCUUGUGUGAAGUCUGUCUGCUACAGACGAGUAAGCUGCUUGCAGACAAGGCUCUUUCCAGGCUUCUGUUCCCAGCACCUCACGUGACACAUGGCCCUCAGUUACUAUUUCAUGACUCAGUUAUCCAAAAAGCUCUGCAAUAAAGAACCCUAA